UCGGAUGUAGCUCAAUGGUAGAGCCCCGCACUGUUAAUGCGGCCGUUGCCGGUUCGAGUCCAGCCAUCCGAGCCA
RNAcentral lists this transfer RNA (75 nucleotides) under Kiritimatiellia bacterium. RNAcentral describes it as "tRNA-Asn". It matches the Rfam family "tRNA". Rfam says of the family: Transfer RNA (tRNA) molecules are approximately 80 nucleotides in length. Their secondary structure includes four short double-helical elements and three loops (D, anti-codon, and T loops). Lineage: Bacteria; Pseudomonadati; Kiritimatiellota; Kiritimatiellia. RNAcentral also lists the same sequence under 1 other name. The record is from RNAcentral.